UACGUAGGUGGCAAGCGUUGUCCGGAAUUAUUGGGCGUAAAGCGCGCGCAGGCGGCCUCUUAAGUCUGAUGUGAAAGCCCCCGGCUCAACCGGGGAGGGCCAUUGGAAACUGGGAGGCUUGAGUAUAGGAGAGAAGAGUGGAAUUCCACGUGUAGCGGUGAAAUGCGUAGAGAUGUGGAGGAACACCGGUGGCGAAGGCGACUCUUUGGCCUAUAACUGACGCUGAGGCGCGAAAGCGUGGGGAGCAAACAGG
Molecule: ribosomal RNA, 253 nt
Filed under: uncultured bacterium
Lineage: Bacteria
Description: partial 16S ribosomal RNA
Rfam family: Bacterial small subunit ribosomal RNA
Source: RNAcentral